RNAcentral lists this ribosomal RNA (460 nucleotides) under uncultured bacterium. RNAcentral's name for it is "partial 16S ribosomal RNA". It matches the Rfam family "Bacterial small subunit ribosomal RNA", at positions 338 to 795 of the family's 1533-position model. The record is from RNAcentral.
CCUACGGUGGGCAGCAGUGAGGAAUAUUGGUCAAUGGGCGUAAGCCUGAACCAGCCAAGUCGCGUGAGGGAUGAAGGUUCUAUGGAUCGUAAACCUCUUUUAUAAGGGAAUAAAGUGUGGGACGUGUCCUAUUUUGUAUGUACCUUAUGAAUAAGGAUCGGCUAACUCCGUGCCAGCAGCCGCGGUAAUACGGAGGAUCCGAGCGUUAUCCGGAUUUAUUGGGUUUAAAGGGUGCGUAGGCGGCCUUUUAAGUCAGCGGUGAAAGUCUGUGGCUCAACCAUAGAAUUGCCGUUGAAACUGGGGGGCUUGAGUAUGUAUGAGGUAGGCGGAAUUCGUGGUGUAGCGGUGAAAUGCUUAGAUAUCACGAAGAACUCCGAUUGCGAAGGCAGCUUACUAAACUGCCACUGACAUUGAUGCUCGAAAGUGUGGGUAUCAAACAGGAUUAGAUACCCUAGUAGUC